ACCACACCCUAACUAUUUGGAUGACUAUGUUGUCCCGUGCUUCCUUGACUUGGACCAGUUUAAUUGUGUGGUUAAACUGAACUCAGAAAAAAAAAGGUACAGAAAAUAAAUAAAACAUCUGAUUGAAUAACUCUGGUGAAUGGGAGGAUCGGAAAUGCUAGAUGACUUGACCGAUUUCGAAGGUAGCAAAAUGGCCGGUCGUGAUAUGCUACAUGUACCGUACGUAAUAUGAACUAUAGUCCCUAUCUAGGAAAAUGAGGCGUUUUUGUUGGCGUCUGCUAUGUCUAUG
Molecule: long non-coding RNA, 289 nt
Filed under: Sorghum bicolor (sorghum)
Lineage: Eukaryota; Viridiplantae; Streptophyta; Magnoliopsida; Poales; Poaceae
Description: long non-coding RNA (SBIC_LNC013491)
Source: RNAcentral